AGAGCAGCUCUCUGAUCUCGUGGCUUCCCUUCAUUCCCCUCUUUCCCUACUCUCCUUUCGUGUAAAAACUUCCACGGUUGCUCCGCAUCUGUCGGCUGCUUUUUGAUCUUGCAAAGAAAUCAACUCCUUCAGCCAUGAAGUACCAAAUCGCAAGUGUCGUGGCCGCUGCCGCGCUGUUCGGCGGCGCCGCUGCUGUGUCGUGCAGCGACAAGUACCCGCAGUCGUCCGCGUUCUUCGGCUCGAUGGGUUGCGCGUCCGCGCUGAUAUUUGCCAACCUGGGCUCUGCCUACGGCACGGCGAAGUCUGGCGUCGGCGUUGCGCACCUGGGCAUCCUGCACGCCGAACGCAUCAUGCGUGGCAUCGUUCCGGUAGUCAUGGCUGGCAUCCUUGGUAUCUACGGGCUGAUCGUGUCCGUGAUCAUCAACAACAACAUCAAGGCGGACGACAACUCGUACUCCGCGUUUGCGGGCUACUUGCACUUUGGCGCUGGUCUGGCCGCCGGCCUGUCGUCUCUUGCGGCCGGCCUGUCGAUCGGGAUUGCGGGCGAUGCGUCUGUGCGCGCGUACGGCAAGCAGGAGAAGAUCUUUGUCGCCAUGAUUCUGAUGCUGAUUUUUGCGGAGGCUCUGGGCCUGUACGGCCUGAUCAUCGCGCUUCUGAUGAACAACACGGCUGGCAAGGUGGCUGCUGGUUGUCAGUAAGCGUAGCAGCUGGUAUGUGUAUUGCUGCGCAGCGUGUGUUUCGUGCUCGCUUUUCCAUGACCGCUGAUGUGGGUUCGUGUCGCUCUGUCUCAAGUGUUAGUGUGCCUUUGAGCGCACACAAGGGUGCGCUGUGCAUGACCGGCAUCUCUCUUCCUCUGUUGGUGGGUAUUUGGGUACGCGAGUGAUAGCGAUGGUGAUGCUGCGAUACAUUAAAUGACAUUAUGUUUUUUCGGCAGUGCUAGUUUUGUCGGUCACACCCGUCGUCCCUGCUCACUCCUGGCCGUUUCCAGCCACCCCUACAGCGGGUCUCUCGUUGCCAUUGCACACGAUGUGUUCUGACACACGAAGAGGAGCGACAACCACACAUGCGUCGGUAGGCAGGCAGACGGCGGCCCACUGACGUGUACGUGUGUUCUUUAAUCUCUCUAUAUCUCUUUUUCUUUUUGGUGGUGAAAGGAAGAAAAGAAUGCCUUAAUGUGCUUCGAUGUCGGUUUUUUUUUUUGUGGAUUGUGUGCUCCCUUGGUGGCUUCUCUCGGUCUUCCAUCCACCACCACCUCUUUGUCCUUUCCCCCCUUUUUACGCAACGUGCCGAUCGUACAGAAUGGAAGAGAGAGGGGAGACAAGAGGGGAAAGGGAGGCGAAGGGGACGAAAACGGGGAUGAAGAGACGCGCACGUAAAGAAGGUACGCGUGUGUGUGGCUAAGUAUGGCCCUCGCUCUCUCCCUCUCUUUGUGGCUAUUUUAUUCCUCUUGUUGGUUGUCGUUGUGUGUGUGUUUGCCAACAAUAUUUAUCGUACUAGCUUCUAUCUAGGUGUCGGUGCCUCUCGUGUACGUUUUAUGGGCUGUUGGCGUCUACAUCUCGCCCUCUCUAUUUUUGUUCUCCAUUCGAAUGACCGAAGUAGGCAAACGAAACGAGAUGCGAAG
This 1621-nucleotide unclassified non-coding RNA is filed under the name Leishmania donovani. RNAcentral's name for it is "gene:LdHU3.21.2570(CDS-product:vacuolar_ATP_synth ase_putative)". Lineage: Eukaryota; Euglenozoa; Kinetoplastea; Trypanosomatida; Trypanosomatidae. The record is from RNAcentral.